GGGAGACGGGGAGUCAGAGAAAGAGAAGAGAAAAGGAGAAAGGAGGAGAGGAGGACGCUGACUUUCGCUGUCAAGCCCUUGCACCCGGAAAAUCACCAUCGUAUUUCAGGGUUGGAAGCCCCUGGGACCGCUGGGUUUUGGAGGCUGUGCGGAAAAAAAAAAUCUUGCUCGACGUGAAGCCGCGGGCCGCUGGCCGACCGACUGCAGUGAACUCGAGAAAUUAACCUGCGCUACGAUGCACGGGGCUGCCGCCCGCUCCGACUCACCUCCAGCGACCGAGACAGAGAGCUCCCGAACCGGCCGCGGGGGGACCUGGCUCCUCCCUCCCGUCCCAGGAGAAGAGGACAAAAAGGGGAGAUGGACUUGGAGAUGGCCCCGCCCUUCAAACGCUCCAAUCCUUGGAAACUAAACCUCCUCUCCAAGCCUCCCCGUCUACAAGGGACAAAGGCAGCGAGGAGAUCCUGAGACCGAUGGGUGGCUUCGGGGCUCCUCCCGAGGGGGCGUGGGGGGGGGGGCAAGGUACGGUGGCCGAGUCUCCAUUCCUAAUACAGGACAGUCUUUAGAAGACCAUCUUCUGCUUUAGCAGCGAAUUGACUUCCCAAAGCCGGGAAGCGAACUCCUGCAAAACUCCCGCAAAGCCUUUUUGAAUGUGGAAAAGCUAAAUUUUCAAUUAGUGAUGCCACACACACACACACACACACACAUUUUUUUUCUUUUCCGACUUCUUUUGGAGUCACAAGUGCCCGAACUGUCCAACUAAAAUAAAAGAAAAAAAAUUGUAACAUGGUUGGGGAUUAGGCUCUUUUUUUUUUUUUUUUUUAA
Molecule: RNA transcript, 822 nt
Organism: Canis lupus familiaris (dog)
Lineage: Eukaryota; Metazoa; Chordata; Mammalia; Carnivora; Canidae
Exons: 3
Source: RefSeq, a predicted model, not a curated record